Homo sapiens (human) is the source of this 2283-nucleotide long non-coding RNA. Ensembl annotates it as STXBP5 antisense RNA 1. Its record names the gene STXBP5-AS1. The record is from Ensembl. Lineage: Eukaryota; Metazoa; Chordata; Mammalia; Primates; Hominidae.
AAAAUGGAUGAUCUCCAAAAAGAGAAAAGCAAAAAGAUAACUUGACAUGCUAUUAACUCCUAGUAUUUUUAGUAUUUUAAAAAUUCACUCUAUAUCUCUUCUCAGAGAAAUAUGCAAUGAUGACAUUUCCAAGAAGUGAUGGCAUCUGGCGCUAAGGACAAAGAAUGGGAUUUUGCCACAGGGAUCUUAUUCUCCCACAUGUUCUGUCUGAAGGAGAAAGUUAUCUGAGGCCUUAUAUGAUGCAAAACUUUGGACUCAAAGAAAUUAAAUCACUUGCCCAAGGUUACAUAGCUGCCCCUGGCAAACACCAUUCUACUUUCCGUCUCUAUGAAUUUGACUACUCGAAGUACCUCAUGUGAAAUGUUGGUGCCAAAUGAACUUUUCUGGUUCUUCUGAAUAGGAUGAAGAGAUCCUCCUAGCUUGGCGGAAUACUCUGCUCUGAUGGAAGUACCAUCCUGGUCCAAACAUGAAAGAAUUCCCAACAUCAAGAUUGAUUGAAACAUAUUCAAUGGGUGGUGACCAGAUGGAUAUAAACGGGCUGUGGAAAAAGAGAAUGCAUGGCCAAAAAUGGUGGUGCUCUCUGUCCAAAAACUGAGGCCCUAUGACCAUGAAUGAAGCCAGAGGGCAGGUAGGAAUAGAUCAUUUGCUCCAGAAGAAGCUGGUUGCCAUGUCUUGAGGACAGUAAACCCUCUGGGGAGGUUCCUGUGGUAAGGAACAAGGGCUCCUGGCAAUAGCCUCUGAGUGAGCCACCUUGAAAAUGGAUUGUCCAGCCCCAGUCAAGCUUUCAGAUGACUGUAGCUCCUGCCAAUGUCUUCACCACAACCUCAUGAGAUCCCAAGCUACAACCACUCAGUUAAGUUAUGCCAAAAUUCCUGAUUCACAGAAAUUGACAUACAGGAGAGGUCACAGUUAAGAUCUUGAUGUUCUAUCUUGACCCAUAAUAUAGGAACUUCAUCUUUUGGGAAGCACCAGGGAGAGCUGCCUGUGCCUGGCAGAAGCUGCCCAUGCCCCACUGAUACCCCACAGUACUUCCUGUUCUGCUUAGUACUCCUGCUUCUUUCUACAAACAACUGUGAUUCUCUACCUGGGAGCUUCCUCUGGCCACAGGAGCCUGCUCACCUGAUUGGGACACCCUAGCAGUACUGGCUCAUAGAUGGAAGGGACUUGCCUUGUCGCUGAUGAGACUUUCGACUUGGACUUUUGAGUCAAUGCUGGAAUGAGUUAAGACUUUGGGGAACUGUUGGAAGGGUGUGAUUGUGUUUUGAAUUGUGAGGACAUGAGAUUUUGAAGAGGCUAAUGGCAGCGUCCCCACCUAAAUCUCUUCUUGAAUUGUAGUUCCCAUAAUCCCCACGUGUCGUGGGGUGGAGCCGGUGGAGAUAAUUGAAUCAUGGGAACACUUUCCCCCAUGCUGUUAUUGUGAUUGUGAAUUCUCACGAGAUCUGAUGGUUGUAUAAACGCCUUCCCUCUUCGCUGGGCACUCAUUUUUCUCCUUCCUGCCACCAUGUGAAGAAGGAUAUGCUUGCUUCUUGUGCCAUGAUUACAAGAACACACUCAGAAAUUUUCUCAACACAGUUUCUAUGCAGAGAAGAGAUGUGGGACAGAUUUGAACUGCUGUCAUAUUUGUAUGAACCCAAGACAUUUUCCAAGACCAAGAGGGAUAAAGACAGCAAUUUCUAUGACUGGCAUUUUACGUGCAUGCACUGUUUCCAAGUGUUCUUGUGUUCUGUGCCUUAAACAUUCUGUGUUGCAACUUUAUGAAUUGAAUUAAAGAUAAUCCCAAGCCCCCAAUUGUCUCAAAAAGUGAAAAAGUAAAUGUUAUAGAAAGAAAAGCGGGAAAAACUUUAAGCAUGAAAUAAAAGAUGGGUUGUGAUAAAAGAGGACUGAAGAAGGAAAAGGAAUGAAAGGUUCUGCCAUCCUUCAUGGCAGCCCACUCCACUUGGGAAGAAGAGACUGGGUCACGGGAAUGCUUUAAUGUGGAAACCCUGAAUUCGUUCCACACAUCUGCCUUCUGGGGACACAGACUUUGCAUUCUGGUAGACCAACUGAUGCCACCCAGACCCAUGACCCAUGCCAAAGAACUGAUUCAACUGGUUCUGUGACUCCCACCCAUGAAGUCACUCAGGACAUGAAGACAGUUUUGACACUCCUGUGAUUUCAUCCCUGACCAAAUCGCAGUUCCCAUUCCUUAGCACCCCACACACACCAAAUCAUCCUAAAAAACCCUCACCUCCAAAUUCAUGGGGAGGCAGAUUUGAGAGAUAUUGCCCAUCCUCCCCACUCAGC